Molecule: ribosomal RNA, 71 nt
Filed under: uncultured bacterium
Lineage: Bacteria
Description: partial 16S ribosomal RNA
Source: RNAcentral
UGGCUUUGACAUGUUAGUGAAAAUUCGGUGAAAGCCGAACCCUCCAAGAGCUUGCUCGAGGACACUAUCAC